AGAGUUUGAUCCUGGCUCAGAUUGAACGCUGGCGGCAGGCCUAACACAUGCAAGUCGAACGGUAACAGGAAGCAGCUUGCUGCUUUGCUGACGAGUGGCGGACGGGUGAGUAAUGUCUGGGAAACUGCCUGAUGGAGGGGGAUAACUACUGGAAACGGUGGCUAAUACCGCAUAACGUCGCAAGACCAAAGAGGGGGACCUUCGGGCCUCUUGCCAUCAGAUGUGCCCAGAUGGGAUUAGCUAGUUGGUGAGGUAACGGCUCACCAAGGCGACGAUCCCUAGCUGGUCUGAGAGGAUGACCAGCCACACUGGAACUGAGACACGGUCCAGACUCCUACGGGAGGCAGCAGUGGGGAAUAUUGCACAAUGGGCGCAAGCCUGAUGCAGCCAUGCCGCGUGUAUGAAGAAGGCCUUCGGGUUGUAAAGUACUUUCAGCGGGGAGGAGGGUGUUGUGGUUAAUAACCACAGCAAUUGACGUUACCCGCAGAAGAAGCACCGGCUAACUCCGUGCCAGCAGCCGCGGUAAUACGGAGGGUGCAAGCGUUAAUCGGAAUUACUGGGCGUAAAGCGCACGCAGGCGGUCUGUCAAGUCGGAUGUGAAAUCCCCGGGCUCAACCUGGGAACUGCAUUCGAAACUGGCAGGCUUGAGUCUUGUAGAGGGGGGUAGAAUUCCAGGUGUAGCGGUGAAAUGCGUAGAGAUCUGGAGGAAUACCAGUGGCGAAGGCGGCCCCCUGGACAAAGACUGACGCUCAGGUGCGAAAGCGUGGGGAGCAAACAGGAUUAGAUACCCUGGUAGUCCACGCCGUAAACGAUGUCUACUUGGAGGUUGUGCCCUUGAGGCGUGGCUUCCGGAGCUAACGCGUUAAGUAGACCGCCUGGGGAGUACGGCCGCAAGGUUAAAACUCAAAUGAAUUGACGGGGGCCCGCACAAGCGGUGGAGCAUGUGGUUUAAUUCGAUGCAACGCGAAGAACCUUACCUGGUCUUGACAUCCACGGAAGUUUUCAGAGAUGAGAAUGUGCCUUCGGGAACCGUGAGACAGGUGCUGCAUGGCUGUCGUCAGCUCGUGUUGUGAAAUGUUGGGUUAAGUCCCGCAACGAGCGCAACCCUUAUCCUUUGUUGCCAGCGGUCCGGCCGGGAACUCAAAGGAGACUGCCAGUGAUAAACUGGAGGAAGGUGGGGAUGACGUCAAGUCAUCAUGGCCCUUACGACCAGGGCUACACACGUGCUACAAUGGCGCAUACAAAGAGAAGCGACCUCGCGAGAGCAAGCGGACCUCAUAAAGUGCGUCGUAGUCCGGAUUGGAGUCUGCAACUCGACUCCAUGAAGUCGGAAUCGCUAGUAAUCGUGGAUCAGAAUGCCACGGUGAAUACGUUCCCGGGCCUUGUACACACCGCCCGUCACACCAUGGGAGUGGGUUGCAAAAGAAGUAGGUAGCUUAACCUUCGGGAGGGCGCUUACCACUUUGUGAUUCAUGACUGGGGUGAAGUCGUAACAAGGUAACC
RNAcentral lists this ribosomal RNA (1503 nucleotides) under Salmonella enterica. RNAcentral describes it as "bacterial SSU rRNA". It matches the Rfam family "Bacterial small subunit ribosomal RNA". RNAcentral also lists the same sequence under 1 other name. The record is from RNAcentral. Lineage: Bacteria; Pseudomonadati; Pseudomonadota; Gammaproteobacteria; Enterobacterales; Enterobacteriaceae.